Molecule: ribosomal RNA, 997 nt
Filed under: marine metagenome
Description: bacterial SSU rRNA
Rfam family: Bacterial small subunit ribosomal RNA
Source: RNAcentral
AGGUCCCAAGCGUUGUUCGGAUUUACUGGGCGUAAAGGGUGCGUAGGCGGUUAGAAAAGUUUGGUGUGAAAUCUUCGGGCUCAACCCGGAAACUGCACUGAAAACUAUUUAACUAGAGGAUCGGAGAGGAGAUUGGAAUUCUCAGUGUAGCAGUGAAAUGCGUAGAUAUUGAGAGGAACACCAGUUGCGAAGGCGGAUCUCUGGACGAUUCCUGACGCUGAGGCACGAAAGCUGGGGGAGCGAAGAGGAUUAGAUACCCUCGUAGUCCCAGCCGUAAACGGUGCGCACUUGCUGUGGGCGGAUUCGACCCCGUCCGUGGCGAAGCUAACGCGUUAAGUGCGCCGCCUGGGGAGUACGGUCGCAAGAUUAAAACUCAAAGAAAUUGACGGGGGCCUGCACAAGCGGUGGAGUAUGUGGCUUAAUUCGAUGCAACGCGAAGAACCUUACCUGGCCUUGACAUGUAGUGGCCCGGGUGCGAAAUCACCCUUUUCUUCGGAACUGCUACACAGGUGCUGCAUGGCUGUCGUCAGCUCGUGUCGUGAGAUGUUGGGUUAAGUCCCGCAACGAGCGCAACCCCCGUGUUCUGUUGCCACCCGGAUGAGAAUCCGGAGCACUCUGGACAGACUGCCUGGUUUCAACCAGGAGGAAGGUGGGGAUGACGUCAAGUCAGUAUGGCCCUUACGGCCAGGGCUGCACACGUACUACAAUGCCCGGUACAAUGGGAAGCGAGACCGCGAGGUGGAGCAAAUCCUAAAAACCGGGCCCAGUUCAGAUUGUAGGCUGCAACUCGCCUACAUGAAGGAGGAAUCGCUAGUAAUGCCGUAUCAGCUACGACGGCGUGAAUACGUUCCCAGGCCUUGUACACACCGCCCGUCACAUCAUGAAAGUCGAUUGUACCCGAAGUCGCCGAGUUAACCGCAAGGAGACAAGCGCCGAAGGUAUGGUUGGUAAUUGGGAUGAAGUCGUAACAAGGUAGCCGUAGGGGAACCUGUGGCUG